Molecule: unclassified non-coding RNA, 378 nt
Filed under: plant metagenome
Description: partial contains 5.8S ribosomal RNA, internal transcribed spacer 2, and large subunit ribosomal RNA
Rfam family: 5.8S ribosomal RNA (bases 1-105)
Source: RNAcentral
GAAAUGCGAUAAGUAAUGUGAAUUGCAGAAUUCAGUGAAUCAUCGAAUCUUUGAACGCACCUUGCGCUCCUUGGUAUUCCUUGGAGCAUGUCUGUUUGAGUAUCAUGAAAUCUUCAAAGUAAAUCUUUUGUUAACUCAAUUGGUUUCUACUUUGGUAUUGGAGGUCUUUGCAGCUUCACACCUGCUCCUCUUUGUUCAUUAGCUGGAUCUCAGUGUUAUGCUUGGUUCCACUCGGCGUGAUAAGUUAUCUAUCGCUGAGGACACUGUAAAAGGUGGCCAAGGUAAAUGCAGAUGAACCGCUUCUAAUAGUCCAUUGACUUGGACAAUACUUUUAUGAUCCGAUCUCAAAUCAGGUAGGACUACCCGCUGAACUUAAGC